GGGCCCCGCANAGCAGCGGAGCAUGCGGCUUAAUUCGACGCAACGCGAAGAACCUUACCAAGGCUUGACAUAUACAGGAAUACGGCAGAGAUGUCGUAGCCGCAAGGUCUGUAUACAGGUGGUGCAUGGUUGUCGUCAGCUCGUGUCGUGAGAUGUUGGGUUAAGUCCCGCAACGAGCGCAACCCUCGUUCUGUGUUGCCAGCAUUUAGUUGGGGACUCACAGGAGACUGCCGGGGUUAACUCGGAGGAAGGUGGGGAUGACGUCAAAUCAUCAUGCCCCUUAUGUCUUGGGCUGCACGCAUGCUACAAUGGCUGGUACGAACGGCUGCAAUACCGCAAGGUGGAGCGAAUCCGAGAAAGCCAGUCUCAGUUCGGAUUGGGGUCUGCAACUCGACCCCAUGAAGUCGGAGUUGCUAGUAAUCGUAGAUCAGCAACGCUACGGUGAAUACGUUCCCGGGGCUUGUACACACCGCCCGUCACGUCACGAAAGUCGGUAACACCCAAAGUCAGUGGCCCAACCGUAAGGAGGGAGCUGCCAAAGGUGGGAUCGGUGAUUGGGACGAGUCGUAACAAGGUAGCCGUAA
RNAcentral lists this ribosomal RNA (584 nucleotides) under uncultured bacterium. RNAcentral's name for it is "bacterial SSU rRNA". It matches the Rfam family "Bacterial small subunit ribosomal RNA", at positions 916 to 1505 of the family's 1533-position model. The record is from RNAcentral.